AUGAGCCUUAACGACGCUCCCUGGGGUGGGGAGUGGAGGGCUUCUCCGAUCUGCCCCUUUGACCCGGGGCUUCGGCUUCAGCUCUGCCGCCUCAUUUCCCUCCCGCGCUGCCUGGAGGCUCGUCCUGCUGGCAGGAGGUCGGCUGCACACAGCUGCCUCUCGGGUUGUGGCCUCAGGGUCUGCCUCGUCCCUCAACACGCCUGGGGACGCCGAGGGAGCCCCUCACCCUUCUGGUGCUGCUCAGAAGAAACUACAGGCAAGAAGACUCCAGUAAAGGCAAGGCACAUAGUCAUGAAUAAAGGAAGACUUCAACAGUAACAGCAAAAUCAAAGUUAUGUGCCCUCAUGGUGGCUCCUUUUAGGCUGGUGUCCUCACUAAGAAAUCAGACUUCCCUUGGCUGUACAGCUCCUGGGACUUGCAUGAACACUUGGCUGUUUUG
This 439-nucleotide long non-coding RNA is filed under the name Phasianus colchicus (ring-necked pheasant). RNAcentral's name for it is "lncRNA (ENSPCLG00000004437.1)". Lineage: Eukaryota; Metazoa; Chordata; Aves; Galliformes; Phasianidae. The record is from RNAcentral.